CUAGGGGAACCGAACACAGUUCGAGACUGACCUGGGGUUUUAUAGCACUUUUGGCAGUCAACUUCAGCUUGUGUCAGACAUUACAGAGCUGACCAACGGGGAUCGGGGAGACGCCACCUACUUGGAAUCACUGCCUCCCCCCUUUUAAUAAAAUAUCUAUCUAUCUAUCUACCUCAGGCCUUGGGGAGAGACUAGGGGGUAGAGCUGGAGAUG
Molecule: long non-coding RNA, 213 nt
Filed under: Sphenodon punctatus (tuatara)
Lineage: Eukaryota; Metazoa; Chordata; Lepidosauria; Sphenodontia; Sphenodontidae
Description: HOXA11 antisense RNA 1 conserved region 5 (ENSSPUG00000016099.1)
Rfam family: HOXA11 antisense RNA 1 conserved region 5
Source: RNAcentral